GAUGAACGCUGGCGGCGUGCCUAAUACAUGCGAGUCGAGCGAACGGACGAGAAGCUUGCUUCUCUGAUGUUAGCGGCGGACGGGAGAGUAACACGUGGAUAACCUACCUAUAAGACUGGGAUAACUUCGGGAAACCGUAGCUAAUACCGGAUAAUAUUUUGAACCGCAUGGUUCAAAAGUGAAAGACGGUCUUGCUGUCACUUAUAGAUGGAUCCGCGCUGCAUUAGCUAGUUGGUAAGGUAACGGCUUACCAAGGCAACGAUGCAUAGCCGACCUGAGAGGGUGAUCGGCCACACUGGAACUGAGACACGGUCCAGACUCCUACGGGAGGCAGCAGUAGGGAAUCUUCCGCAAUGGGCGAAAGCCUGACGGAGCAACGCCGCGUGAGUGAUGAAGGUCUUCGGAUCGUAAAACUCUGUUAUUAGGGAAGAACAUAUGUGUAAGUAACUGUGCACAUCUUGACGGUACCUAAUCAGAAAGCCACGGCUAACUACGUG
This 497-nucleotide ribosomal RNA is filed under the name uncultured bacterium. RNAcentral's name for it is "partial 16S ribosomal RNA". It matches the Rfam family "Bacterial small subunit ribosomal RNA", at positions 28 to 507 of the family's 1533-position model. The record is from RNAcentral.